Molecule: long non-coding RNA, 3821 nt
Filed under: Triticum aestivum (bread wheat)
Lineage: Eukaryota; Viridiplantae; Streptophyta; Magnoliopsida; Poales; Poaceae
Description: long non-coding RNA (TAES_LNC024112)
Source: RNAcentral
GCCCGACCGCCUCGCCGGCAACGCCGGGAGGAGGAUAAGGCCGUCAGCGCCUCGACGCCUCGGUCUCCCCCCUGCCACCUCUCCCACUCGCCUCUCCCAGAUCCACUUCACUUCCCCAUCCUCUCCCUGCUCUGAUUUGAGGUUGCUACAGCGCACCGGAGCUCGUCGUCGUGGACCACCACAUCCACCGGCCACCUCGUGCUGCGCCACUGUGUCCAGGAGACUCGUCGGCUUCGACUUCAUCAGCCACGGGCACGGAUUCUGGCAACACGGUGCGACAUCGUCGGGAUCGAGCCGAUCCCCUCCUCUGCAUCACCAGCGCGCCACCGCGUCGAUCUACUCAUCUCCGACCGUCCCCGGCAACCCCGAGCCUUCCCCGAGCAUCACAGUGAGCUCCGCCUCGAUCCCCUUUUCCUCUAGGCGUCGCUCCCGUCCUCUGGCCGCCGUUCCACGAGCUCCGUGCUCCGGCCGCCGCCAUGGCCGAAUAGCUCCACGCUCCUGAGCUUCUCUGCUCAUUUGCAUCGCGCCAAUGAGCUCCUGGUGACCCGUAGGUGCUGCCUGCACGUUUCGUUGCCUCGAACCCGUCGCGAGGCGAGGAGUUCCUCGAGCUCUGCUCCGACCGCCGCCGCGCUCGACGUUGCGGCUGCGCCCCGCCGUGCGUGCCUGGCCGCAUCCGCACGUGCCUGUUGUCGCCCGUGCGCGUGCCCGUCCGCCCGCUGAUGCUCGUGCACGCACGCGCCGCGCCUAGCUGCUGUUGCUGCUUGCUGAGGCCAAUAGGCGCUGCUCUGCUUGCUGCUGUUGCUGCUUGCUGAGGCCAAUAGGCGCUGCUCUGCUUGCUGCUCCUACUCUCCUGCUGCUUGCCUCUAGCACCGCCGCCGCCGCCGCUUACUGAUGCUGCUUACCGCUGCUACUUUUCCCUGUGGCCGCUGCUAGCUGCUACUACGCAUUCUGGCCACGCCAUGGCCAUGGGCCAUGUCCAUGUGCGUGUGUGUGCUUGUGUGUGAUGCACAGCCACCCAAUGGACGGCCAUCCCAAAUUAGAUUAGUGGCCUAAUUGUUGUUCAGCUCUAAUCCUAGCACAAGACACCCACUGAUAGUUAGUCACCACCACUAAAUAAUCCCUAGUUAAAAUUAAGUGCAAAGGACAUGUGGGUCCCGUCGCUAUAUAAACCUAUUUAGCACUUUAGUUAAAUUAUCAGUCAAUGACAAGUAGGCCCAACUUCACUAUUCACACUUUGACCCAGGUCAACUUUGACUGUUGACUGUGCACCUAUUGACUUUGACUUUGACCCUAGCCCCACUGUCAUACACUGUGGCUAGGAUAACACUAGGUGACAAAAGUAUAUUCUGUUUUUAAUUUGGAUUUAUAAUAUUUUCAAAAAAAUGGUUUAAUCUUUGAAAAUUCAUAGAAAAUAAACCGUAGCUCGGAUCGAAAAACUUUAUAUAUGAAAGUUGCUCAGAACGACGAGACGAACCCGAAUACGCUAACCACAUACCUGUUAGAUGCCUCUAACUAUCUGAACAUGGAACAUUCCCCUCCGGUCAUGUGUCUGACACAGGACCGGAACCAGGAAUACGUUCCCGGCUGAAUUCCCCCUUCACCUAUAUCGUGUAGCCAUACGUUAGGUCACACCCGGCAUAGCAUAUUGCCACGUUAUGCUUUGUGUUGCUAUCUUUGCUUUAUUUUUUACUAUUUCUUUCCCCUCUUCUCUCCGGUAGACCCCGAGACCGAUGCUGCCCCUGUGAUCGACUACGUCGACGACGACCCCUCCUUGCCAGAGCAACCAGGCAAGCCCCCCCUUUGAUCAUCCCGAUAUCGCCCAUUCCAUUCUCUCAUGCUUGCAUUAGAUUUUACUACUGUUAUUGUUUGCUCCUAUUCUGAUGCAUAGCCUGCUUUUGUAUCUACUGUUGUACCUUACCUGCUUAUCCUAAACUGCUUAGUAUAGGUUGGUUAGUGAUCCAUCAGUGACCCCCACCUUGUCCUUGUUGCCCCUGCUUCAUCAUUGAAGACCCGAUCAACGGGAUUGAAGACCAGGCCCCGGCACCGCACAUCACUUUCCCCUUAGUUGUUCGACACUGCUGGGUUACAAUCGAGUGCCGAGGGUGAGACCUCUACAGCACUUCUGAUGUUAACCCUGUAGUGUAGCUAUUCGGUCGUGGUCAUCGAGGGUGAUUCCACCUUAACCACUUCCGAUAUGACUCUGUCGUGCAACCCCUCAAGUGUGGACCUCGGGGGUGAUUCCUCUUACGUUCACCUUGAUGAUUACAUUGAGUGGAAUUCACCGGGGGUGAUUCCUCGGGUUUUCCCCUUGAUGUUUAAACACACAGUUACUAUGGUUACUAUGACUUUACACUGAACCAUGUUACUAAAGACGGGUUGACCCUGAGGGGUGCCCGCGCGAGCAUAAUUGCGAGUGAUGAGGAGUCGGGUUGACCUGGAAGGUGCCCGUGAGAUAAUUACGAGGCGUGGUCGGGCAUUCUUAGCCCUUGCCGCAUGUCCUCGAGACGGGGCAACGGGGUCACAUCUUUCGUGAGUCUCUGCUUGUUACCGCGCGUUCCUAAUCCACUACGAUUUGGAUAUUUGAUCCGAGGGGCCUCUGGCCUGAUAGCACUAACCAUCACGUGGGCAUAGUAUGGGCGUUCUGCGUCGUAUGCAUCAGCCGAAGCUUAAUAGACGUCAGCGACUGAGCGGCGCGCGCCGGGUUGGACUGGUAAGCACCUACCUUUUUAAGGAGGUAGCUAGGUCUGCUCACCGGCCGAGUUCGCAACGUGCAGGAGUUUCCGGGGAGAUGGCCCAUGACCCCUGGGGGCAUAGGUUUAGUCCGGCGUGCUGGCCUCUCUAUUAAGCCUAGGUCGGGUUGCGGCGUAUUGUUUGGCCGAGGCCGGGCAUGACCCAGGAAAGUGUGUCCGGCCGGAGUCAAUCGAGCGUGGUGGGUAAGUUGGUGCACCCCUGCAGGGAAGAACUAAUCUAUGCAUAGCCUGUCCUACGGUAACGGACACUUGGAGUUGUAUCCCGAUCGAUACAACUAGAACUGGAUACUUGUGAUGAGAAUUAGAUGGUGAUGAGGAUUUGAUUGUGAUGAUAACUGAAUAGUAUGGCUCUGGGAUUGCUUUCUCGCAGGGAGUCGAGAAAGGAUCUCUGGCCGAGGUUGAUAACACUACUACCGCUUUACUUUAUGCUACUCUACUCCCUCUUGUUUGCUGCAAGAUGGUGGUUUCCAGAAGAUGCUAGUCUUCGAUAGGACUAGACCUUCUCUCUAUUCUGGCAUUUCUGCAGCCCAGUCCACAUAUAUAGCCUUCCUUUGAUAAUGUUGCAUAUGUAGUGUAGAUCCUUGCUUGCGAGUACUUUGGAUGAGUACUCACGGUUGCUUUGCUUCCCCUUUUCCCCCUUUUCUUUUCUUUCCGGUUGAUGCAACCAGAUGUCGGAGCCCAGGAGCCAGAUGCCACCGCCGAUGCCUACUGCUAUGUGGAGACCGUUGACGACCAGGAGUAGUUAGGAGGCUCCCAGGCAGGAGGCCUUGCCUUUUCGAUCGUAGAUGCUUUUGUGCUAGCCUUCUUAAGGCAAACUUGUUUAACUUAUGUCUGUACUCAGAUAUUGUUGCUUCCGCUGACUCGUUUGUAUUCAAGCUGAUGUAUUCGAGCCCUCGAGGCCCCUAGCUUGUAAUAUAAAGCUUGUAUUAUUUUAAUUUGUGUUUAGAGUUGUGUUGUGAUAUCUUCCCGUGAGUCCUUGAUCUUGAUCGUACACAUUUGCGUAUAUGAUUAGUGUACGAUUGAAUCGAGGGCGUCACAGUGAUCCCGUUAUCAACGACAUCUAAUGUUCAU